AUUGAACGCUGGCGGCAUGCCUUACACAUGCAAGUCGAACGGCAGCACGGGAGCAAUCCUGGUGGCGAGUGGCGAACGGGUGAGUAAAGUAUCGGAACGUGCCCAGUCGUGGGGGAUAACGUAGCGAAAGUUACGCUAAUACCGCAUACGAUCUAUGGAUGAAGGCGGGGGAUCGCAAGACCUCGCGCGAUUGGAGCGGCCGAUAUCAGAUUAGGUAGUUGGUGGGGUAAAGGCUCACCAAGCCGACGAUCUGUAGCUGGUCUGAGAGGACGACCAGCCACACUGGGACUGAGACACGGCCCAGACUCCUACGGGAGGCAGCAGUGGGGAAUUUUGGGCAAUGGGCGAAAGCCUGAUCCAGCCAUGCCGCGUGCAGGAUGAAGGCCUUCGGGUUGUAAACUGCUUUUGUACGGAACGAAAAGGUUUGGCCUAAUAAGCUGAGCUCAUGACGGUACCGUAAGAAUAAGCACCGGCUAACUUCGUGCCAGCCGCCGCCGUAA
This 500-nucleotide ribosomal RNA is filed under the name uncultured bacterium. RNAcentral describes it as "partial 16S ribosomal RNA". It matches the Rfam family "Bacterial small subunit ribosomal RNA", at positions 30 to 523 of the family's 1533-position model. The record is from RNAcentral.